AAGAUAUAAACAGAGGAGACCCGGGAGGGCACAGCCACCACGAUGACGCGCAUCCGCCGCCACAGCGCCGCCAUCUGCCCUAGCUUCUGCGUCGGACCUUCCAUGUCGCUGCUGCACGCCACACGCCGGUCUGCAUCGUCGCCGGCAGCGCGCGCACGAAAGGGCUGCUCCUACCUUCAUGCCGCUGCCCUGCUGCCUACGGCGUAUUGCUUCUGGCUGCACGCGGGCCGAUGGAGGAGAGAAUGCAGGUCAGACACACGAAAAUUGGAGAUAGAAGAAGAAGACUGCAGCGAAAAUUCAUCGAGUUCGUCAACAACCAAUGGUUCACGCUACAAGGGUUUGAGAGCUUUCGGUGCAGAUGAUAGUUCUUCGGUUUAAUCAUCCGUUUGAGCAAGUGUAUGGUUGCCGUUAUUUGGUUCUUUUGGUGCUCGUAUUGUUCUGUUGGCUGUUGCAAUGGUCGUGCAAGGCUGCAAGAAAGAACACCACGCGGUCAGUACAUUGUCCAAUCACACAUAUUGACAUAUAUGUACAAUAACGGCUUCAUGAAUUAUUCAACUUAGAAAAAAUUGGAUGCAGAGACUUCUUUUUUCCUUU
Brachypodium distachyon (stiff brome) is the source of this 594-nucleotide long non-coding RNA. RefSeq lists it as uncharacterized. Lineage: Eukaryota; Viridiplantae; Streptophyta; Magnoliopsida; Poales; Poaceae. The transcript has 2 exons. The record is from RefSeq and is a predicted model, not a curated record.